CUACGGGCGGCUCCAGUGAGGAAUAUUGGUCAAUGGGCGCGAGCCUGAACCAGCCAUCCCGCGUGCAGGAUGACGGCCCUAUGGGUUGUAAACUGCUUUUCUAUGCCAAGAAACCUGAUUACGUGUAAUCAGUUGCCGGUAGCAUAGGAAUAAGCAUCGGCUAACUCCGUGCCAGCAGCCGCGGUAAUACGGAGGAUGCAAGCGUUAUCCGGAUUCAUUGGGUUUAAAGGGUGCGCAGGUGGGCUUGUAAGUCAGUGGUGAAAUGCUGCCGCUUAACGGUAGAACUGCCAUUGAUACUGCUAGUCUUGAGUAGGGUUGAGGUAGGCGGAAUGUGUUGUGUAGCGGUGAAAUGCAUAGAUAUGACACAGAACGCCAAUUGCGAAGGCAGCUUACUAAGCCAUUACUGACGCUGAGGCACGAAAGCGUGGGGAGCGAACAGGAUUAGAUACCCGCGUAGUC
RNAcentral lists this ribosomal RNA (459 nucleotides) under uncultured bacterium. Its description in RNAcentral is "partial 16S ribosomal RNA". It matches the Rfam family "Bacterial small subunit ribosomal RNA", at positions 339 to 795 of the family's 1533-position model. The record is from RNAcentral.